RNAcentral lists this ribosomal RNA (560 nucleotides) under uncultured Glomus. Its description in RNAcentral is "SSU rRNA". It matches the Rfam family "Eukaryotic small subunit ribosomal RNA", at positions 546 to 1106 of the family's 1831-position model. The record is from RNAcentral. Lineage: Eukaryota; Fungi; Glomeromycota; Glomeromycetes; Glomerales; Glomeraceae.
AAUUGGAGGGCAAGUCUGGUGCCAGCAGCCGCGGUAAUUCCAGCUCCAAUAGCGUAUAUUAAAGUUGUUGCAGUUAAAAAGCUCGUAGUUGAAUUUCGGGAUCAAUAUUUCGGUCAUGCCGUUGGUAUGCACUGUUAUCAUUGAUUUCUCACCUUCUAAAGAACCGUAAUGCCAUUAAUUUGGUGUUACGGGGAAUUAGGACUGUUACCUUGAAAAAAUUAGAGUGUUUAAAGCAGGCUAACGCUUGAAUACAUUAGCAUGGAAUAAUGAAAUAGGACAUCCGAUUCUAUUUUGUUGGUUUCUAGGAUCGAUGUAAUGAUUAAUAGGGAUAGUUGGGGGCAUUAGUAUUCAAUUGUCAGAGGUGAAAUUCUUGGAUUUAUUGAAGACUAACUACUGCGAAAGCAUUUGCCAAGGAUGUUUUCAUUAAUCAAGAACGAAAGUUAGGGGAUCGAAGACGAUCAGAUACCGUCGUAGUCUUAACCAUAAACUAUGCCGACUAGGGAUCGGAUGAUGUUAAUUUUUUAAUGACUCAUUCGGCGCCUUACGGGAAACCAAAGUGU